This is a long non-coding RNA of Nyctereutes procyonoides (raccoon dog), 316 nucleotides long. RefSeq lists it as uncharacterized. The transcript is spliced from 3 exons. NCBI's taxonomy places the organism in Eukaryota, Metazoa, Chordata, Mammalia, Carnivora, Canidae. The record is from RefSeq and is a predicted model, not a curated record.
AGACUUCUCCUCAGCUCCGUGCGCACUGGCGAGACGUUGAGCCUCGGGAGGGGAGACGCGCGGCGAGAGCCGGAGGGGGACCGCCGCGGAGCUCCGGCCGGGAGGAGCGCGAGGCGUGAUCGAGGGGUAUGGUUAGCAUGGAAUUGAAUUUCAUCUGUCUGUGGGAGUUGUAAACAAGGUUGCCAUCACGAAAGCCAAAGUGGAUUUCUCCAGCGUAGUGUGCCUGCCCCCUUCCGUCAUUGCUGUGAAUGGGCUGGACGGAGGAGGGGCUGGCGAAAAUGAUGAUGAACCAGUGUUGGUGUCCCUGUCUGCGGCC